This 1375-nucleotide ribosomal RNA is filed under the name uncultured bacterium. RNAcentral's name for it is "bacterial SSU rRNA". It matches the Rfam family "Bacterial small subunit ribosomal RNA", at positions 27 to 1393 of the family's 1533-position model. The record is from RNAcentral.
GAUUGAACGCUGGCGGUAUGCUUAACACAUGCAAGUCGAACGGAAACGAUACUAGCUUGCUAGUAGGCGUCGAGUGGCGGACGGGUGAGUAACGCGUAGGAAUCUGCCUGAUAGUGGGGGAUAGCCCGAAGAAAUUCGGAUUAAUACCGCAUAAUCUAUUCGUAGUAAAGUGGGGGACUUUCGAGCCUCACGCUAUCAGAUGAGCCUGCGUAAGAUUAGCUAGUUGGUAGGGUAAAAGCCUACCAAGGCUACGAUCUUUAGCUGGUCUGAGAGGAUGAUCAGCCACAUCGGGACUGAGACACGGCCCGAACUCCUACGGGAGGCAGCAGUGGGGAAUAUUGGACAAUGGGGGCAACCCUGAUCCAGCAAUACCGCGUGUGUGAAGAAGGCCUGAGGGUUGUAAAGCACUUUCAAUUGUGAAGAAAAGUUAACGGUUAAUAACCGUUAGCCUUGACGUUAACUUUAGAAGAAGCACCGGCUAACUCCGUGCCAGCAGCCGCGGUAAUACGGAGGGUGCAAGCGUUAAUCGGAAUUACUGGGCGUAAAGCGUGCGUAGGCGGUUUAUUAAGUCAGAUGUGAAAGCCCCGGGCUUAACCUGGGAACUGCAUUUGAAACUGGUCAACUAGAGUAUGGUAGAGGAAAGUGGAAUUUCUGGUGUAGCGGUGAAAUGCGUAGAUAUCAGAAGGAACAUCAAUGGCGAAGGCAGCUUUCUGGACCAAUACUGACGCUGAGGUACGAAAGCGUGGGUAGCAAACAGGAUUAGAUACCCUGGUAGUCCACGCCGUAAACGAUGAUAACUAGCCGUUGGGGGAAUUUACCCUUUAGUGGCGAAGCUAACGCGUUAAGUUAUCCGCCUGGGGAGUACGGCCGCAAGGUUAAAACUCAAAGGAAUUGACGGGGACCCGCACAAGCGGUGGAGCAUGUGGUUUAAUUCGAUGCAACGCGAAGAACCUUACCUGGUCUUGACAUCCUGCGAACUUUCUAGAAAUAGAUUGGUGCCUUCGGGAACGCAGUGACAGGUGCUGCAUGGCUGUCGUCAGCUCGUGUCGUGAGAUGUUGGGUUAAGUCCCGUAACGAGCGCAACCCCUAUCCUUAUUUGCCAGCACGUCAUGGUGGGAACUAUAAGGAGACUGCCGGUGAUAAACCGGAGGAAGGCGGGGACGACGUCAAGUCAUCAUGGCCCUUACGACCAGGGCUACACACGUGCUACAAUGGGAAGGACAAAGAGCCGCGAAGCCGCGAGGUGUAGCUAAUCUCAGAAACCUUUUCGUAGUCCGGAUUGGAGUCUGCAACUCGACUCCAUGAAGUCGGAAUCGCUAGUAAUCGUAGAUCAGAAUGCUACGGUGAAUACGUUCCCGGGUCUUGUACACACCGC